GAUGAACGCUGGCGGCGUGCUUAACACAUGCAAGUCGAACGGAAAGGCCCUGCUUUUGUGGGGUGCUCGAGUGGCGAACGGGUGAGUAUCACGCGAGUAACCUGCCCUUGACUUUCGGAUAACUUUACGGAACUGGGGCUCAUAUCGCAUAUGAGCUCCUGCUGCAUGGUGUGGGUUGGUAAAUUUCGGCGGUUGUGGAUGGACUCGCGGCUUACCAGCUUGUUGGUGGGGUAGUGGAUUUCCAAGGCUUUGACGGGUAGCCGGCCUGAGAGGGUGACCGGCCACAUGGGGACUGAGAUACGGACCAGACUCGAACGGGAGGCAGCGGUGGGGAAUAUUGCACAGUGGGCGGACGCCUGAUGCAACAGCGCCGCGAGCGGGAAGACGGCCUUCGAGUUAUAAACCACUUUCUCCGUUGAUAAAGCGGGAUUGACGGUAAUGGGUCAAGAAGCAACGGCUAACUACGUG
This 468-nucleotide ribosomal RNA is filed under the name uncultured bacterium. RNAcentral describes it as "partial 16S ribosomal RNA". It matches the Rfam family "Bacterial small subunit ribosomal RNA", at positions 28 to 507 of the family's 1533-position model. The record is from RNAcentral.